Molecule: long non-coding RNA, 209 nt
Filed under: Mytilus galloprovincialis (Mediterranean mussel)
Lineage: Eukaryota; Metazoa; Mollusca; Bivalvia; Mytilida; Mytilidae
Source: RNAcentral
AAUUCAACAAAACUGCCAAAUGUGUUUACACAAAUGUACUUUUCCUUGUAAAUUUGAGUUAACUUAAAUAGUUUUCCUCUCUUUUCCGUAGCUGUAGGACCUAUACAAACUAUGUUCUUAUACUGAAAUCGUUUCUUCCAUAGAUAGAUAAUUUACCAUUUUAAUAACUCGGUGACAUGUUUACCAUAAGCCAAGAGUUAUCGUCCCCA